RNAcentral lists this unclassified non-coding RNA (226 nucleotides) under Hevea brasiliensis (rubber tree). Lineage: Eukaryota; Viridiplantae; Streptophyta; Magnoliopsida; Malpighiales; Euphorbiaceae. The record is from RNAcentral.
GUAUAUAAAUAUUAUAGUUGGAAAAUUUGUUUUUACGGAGUUAGAAAUUUUGAAAUUAUAUGUAUUGUUAAUAUAUAUAUAAGUAGAGAGAGAGAGAGUAUAGUAUUUAGAUUUAUAUUAUUGUUGGGAGAAUUAGGUGUUGUUUAUAGAUUUUAUUUAGAAAGGAUAAUUGGAAGUUUGUGCGUGGUUUUUCGUGGAUUUUGUUGUUUUUUAUUUUUGUUAUUUU